RNAcentral lists this ribosomal RNA (497 nucleotides) under uncultured bacterium. RNAcentral describes it as "partial 16S ribosomal RNA". It matches the Rfam family "Bacterial small subunit ribosomal RNA", at positions 28 to 507 of the family's 1533-position model. The record is from RNAcentral.
GACGAACGCUGGCGGCGUGCCUAAUACAUGCAAGUAGAACGCUGAAGAGAGGAGCUUGCUCUUCUUGGAUGAGUUGCGAACGGGUGAGUAACGCGUAGGUAACCUGCCUGGUAGCGGGGGAUAACUAUUGGAAACGAUAGCUAAUACCGCAUAAAAUUGAUUAUUGCAUGAUAAUUAAUUGAAAGAUGCAACUGCAUCACUACCAGAUGGACCUGCGUUGUAUUAGCUAGUUGGUGAGGUAACGGCUCACCAAGGCGACGAUACAUAGCCGACCUGAGAGGGUGAUCGGCCAAACUGGGACUGAGACACGGCCCAGACUCCUACGGGAGGCAGCAGUAGGGAAUCUUCGGCAAUGGGGGGAACCCUGACCGAGCAACGCCGCGUGAGUGAAGAAGGUUUUCGGAUCGUAAAGCUCUGUUGUAAGAGAAGAACGGGUGUGAGAGUGGAAAGUUCACACUGUGACGGUAUCUUACCAGAAAGGGACGGCUAACUACGUG